UGGGGAAUUUUGGACAAUGGGCGAAAGCCUGAUCCAGCAAUGCCGCGUGUGUGAAGAAGGCCUUCGGGUUGUAAAGCACUUUUGUCCGGAAAGAAAUCCUUGGCUCUAAUACAGUCGGGGGAUGACGGUACCGGAAGAAUAAGCACCGGCUAACUACGUGCCAGCAGCCGCGGUAAUACGUAGGGUGCAAGCGUUAAUCGGAACUACUGGGCGUAAAGCGUGCGCAGGCGGUUUGCUAAGACCGAUGUGAAAUCCCCGGGCUCAACCUGGGAACUGCAUUGGUGACUGGCAGGCUAGAGUAUGGCAGAGGGGGGUAGAAUUCCACGUGUAGCAGUGAAAUGCGUAGAGAUGUGGAGGAAUACCGAUGGCGAAGGCAGCCCCCUGGGCCAAUACUGACGCUCAUGCACGAAAGCGUGGGGAGCAAACAGGAUUAGAUACCCUGGUAGUCCACGCCCUAAACGAUAUCAACUAGUUGUUGGGGAUUCAUUUCCUUAGUAACGUAGCUAACGCGUGAAGUUGACCGCCUGGGGAGUACGGUCGCAAGAUUAAAACUCAAAUGAAUUGAC
Molecule: ribosomal RNA, 566 nt
Filed under: uncultured bacterium
Lineage: Bacteria
Description: partial 16S ribosomal RNA
Rfam family: Bacterial small subunit ribosomal RNA
Source: RNAcentral